ACCCGCUGAAUUUAAGCAUAUAAGUAAGUGGUGGAAAUUAAACCAAAUGGGAUUCUGUUAGUAAUUGCGAAUGAACAUAGACAUGCUUAGCUUGAUAAAUGGAGCCUCUGGCUUUGAAUUGUGUUUGUGAACAUGUAUUACCAACAGAGGUGUGGGUGUUAGCGUAUUGGAAGAAAGUGUCAAUGAAGGUGAGAGUCCUUGUUGUCAUGUGCAGCCCUCUGUGCACGGAGUAUGUUUGGUGAGUCACACUCCUUGGCAUUGGAAUGCAAAUUGGGUGGUAAGUUUCAUGCACAGGUAAAUACAUGAUUGAGACUGAUAGCGCACAAGUACCAUGAGGGAAAUAUGAAAAGGACUUUGAAAAGAGAGUUAAAUGAGUUUGCACUUGCUGAACAGAAAGUAAACAGAUUUGAUUAUACUGCGUGAGAUUGUGGUGUUUGCUUUGCAUGUCGAUGUGAAUUGCAAAUGCAAUGUUUGUUGCUGUGUGUGCUAGUUAUUUGUGCAUGUGCUGACCAUUGCACAUGAAUGGUAAUAUCUCUGCGGGGGGUGAUUGUAUGUGCAUGCAUGCAUGUGUGCUCAGGCAUGUGUUUGGUGAUGGUGUGUUGGUAUGUGUGUGUGUGUUCUGUGCUGGGUGUUGUUCGCUGUAUGGGCCCACAAGCUUUAACACUGACUUGCUGGUAAUAUGAUUCUGCUUGACCCGUCUUGAAACACGGUCCAAGG
This 717-nucleotide ribosomal RNA is filed under the name Alexandrium fraterculus. Its description in RNAcentral is "partial large subunit ribosomal RNA". It matches the Rfam family "Eukaryotic large subunit ribosomal RNA", at positions 23 to 671 of the family's 3401-position model. The record is from RNAcentral. Lineage: Eukaryota; Dinophyceae; Gonyaulacales; Pyrocystaceae.